CCUACGGGCGGCAGCAGUGAGGAAUAUUGGUCAAUGGACGGAAGUCUGAACCAGCCAUGCCGCGUGCAGGAAGACGGCUCUAUGAGUUGUAAACUGCUUUUGUACCAGGGUAAACCUGAAUACGUGUAUUCAGCUGGAAGGACUGUACGAAUAAAGAAAGGCUAACUCAGUGCCAGCAGCCGCGGUACUACGGAGGAUCCAAGCGUUAUCCGGAUUGAUUGGGUUUAAAGGGUGCGUAGGCGGAUUGAUAAGUUAGAGGUGAAAUGUCCGAGCUUAACUCGGGAACUGCCUCUAAUACUGUUGAUCUAGAGAGUAGAUGCGGUAGGCGGAAUGCAUGGUGUAGCGGUGAAAUGCUUAGAGAUCAUACAGAAUACCGAUUGCGAAGGCAGCUUACCAAUCUAUAUCUGACGUUGAGGCACGAAAGCGUGGGGAGCAAACAGGAUUAGAUACCCGUGUAGUC
Molecule: ribosomal RNA, 460 nt
Filed under: uncultured bacterium
Lineage: Bacteria
Description: partial 16S ribosomal RNA
Rfam family: Bacterial small subunit ribosomal RNA
Source: RNAcentral